This 500-nucleotide non-coding RNA is filed under the name uncultured Glomus. RNAcentral describes it as "SSU rRNA". It matches the Rfam family "Eukaryotic small subunit ribosomal RNA", at positions 591 to 1092 of the family's 1831-position model. Lineage: Eukaryota; Fungi; Glomeromycota; Glomeromycetes; Glomerales; Glomeraceae. The record is from RNAcentral. RNAcentral also lists the same sequence under 1 other name.
CCAAUAGCGUAUAUUAAAGUUGUUGCAGUUAAAAAGCUCGUAGUUGAAUUUCGGGGUUAGUAGGUUGGUCAUGCCUCUGGUAUGUACUGGUCUCACUGAUUCCUCCUUCCUGAUGAACCUUAAUGCCAUUUAUUUGGUGUUUUGGGGAAUUUGGACUGUUACUUUGAAAAAAUUAGAGUGUUUAAAGCAAGCUAACGCUUGAAUACAUUAGCAUGGAAUAAUGAAAUAGGACGUUCGAUCCUAUUUUGUUGGUUUCUAGGAUUGACGUAAUGAUUAAUAGGGAUAGUUGGGGGCAUUAGUAUUCAAUUGUCAGAGGUGAAAUUCUUGGAUUUAUUGAAGACUAACUACUGCGAAAGCAUUUGCCAAGGAUGUUUUCAUUAAUCAAGAACGAAAGUUAGGGGAUCGAAGACGAUCAGAUACCGUCGUAGUCUUAACCAUAAACUAUGCCGACUAGGGAUCGGAUGAUGUUAAUUUUUUAAUGACUCAUUCGGCGCCUUACG